Molecule: ribosomal RNA, 451 nt
Filed under: uncultured organism
Description: partial 16S ribosomal RNA
Rfam family: Bacterial small subunit ribosomal RNA
Source: RNAcentral
ACGUACACCCCUACGGGAGGCAGCAGUGGGGAAUAUUGGACAAUGGGCGCAAGCCUGAUCCAGCCAUGCCGCGUGAGUGAUGAAGGCCCUAGGGUUGUAAAGCUCUUUCACCGGUGAAGAUAAUGACGGUAACCGGAGAAGAAGCCCCGGCUAACUUCGUGCCAGCAGCCGCGGUAAUACGAAGGGGGCUAGCGUUGUUCGGAUUUACUGGGCGUAAAGCGCACGUAGGCGGACUAUUAAGUCAGGGGUGAAAUCCCGGGGCUCAACCCCGGAACUGCCUUUGAUACUGGUAGUCUUGAGUUCGAGAGAGGUGAGUGGAAUUCCGAGUGUAGAGGUGAAAUUCGUAGAUAUUCGGAGGAACACCAGUGGCGAAGGCGGCUCACUGGCUCGAUACUGACGCUGAGGUGCGAAAGCGUGGGGAGCAAACAGGAUUAGAAACCCCAGUAGUCCC